This is a long non-coding RNA of Colossoma macropomum (tambaqui), 1705 nucleotides long. RefSeq lists it as uncharacterized. The transcript is spliced from 2 exons. Lineage: Eukaryota; Metazoa; Chordata; Actinopteri; Characiformes; Serrasalmidae. The record is from RefSeq and is a predicted model, not a curated record.
ACUCCGGACCUCCAGCUGCAGACCGCCGAAGACACACUCCCGCAGGACCAGGUGUGUUUGAGCUGCUCAGUGUGUGUUGGAGACGCUGCACUUCCUCCUCCUCUCCACAGGCGGCGCUGUGCUGUGACUGAGCUGGUGCUGCUGCCUGUAACAGCAACUCCAUGUGGAAGUGUGUGUGUGUGUGUUCCAGUGGAGCUGCUGUUACCUGCAGACGGUGACCUUCGACCUUCAGCGUCUGACUGCAGCCUCCGAAAAACACUGCAGCGGUUACUUAGCAACAGCAGAUUAAUAAACACUGAAGUCAGUAAAGUAAUGAGUUUAAUUCAGUAAUGAGGUCAAUUUAAAAAUUAUCAGAAUUCAGUAAUGAAGGAAAUGAAAUCAAAAAAGAUGUAAAUUCAGUAAUGAGGUAAAUAAAAAUGAUAGAAAUUCAGUAUUAAAGUAAAUUCAUUAAUCAAGAAACUUCAAAAAUGAGGUAAAUUCAGUAACAAAUUAAAUUAUUAAUUCUGUAAUUUUAAUUCAGAAAUUUUAGUUCAGUUUUGAGGUGAUUUAAACAAGUUGUAAAUUCAGUAAUGAGAUAAAUGUGGUAAUGAGGUAAAUUCAGUAAAGAAUUAAAUUAAAAAAUAUAUAAUUUUAGUAAUUAGGGAAAUUCAAAAAAGAUAAAUUCAUUGAUUAAUUAACUUUAAAAAUAAAUCCAGUAUUGAAUUAAAUUCUAAAGUAUAAAGUAAAGUCAGUAGUGAAGUAAAUUAAAAAAUUCCAGUUAUGUAGAAAUUAAAAAAUUAGGUUAAUUUAAAAAUGACAGGUUCAGUAACGACAUAAAUUCAGUGAAGAAAAACUGAGUAAUUAGUAAAAUUGGGACUGAAGGUGGUCCCGCUGGGGGUGGGAUGCAGGGCGAUGACCUAUGAAUUGACAGCCAGUUUAAGUGGGCCUGCCUGUCAGUUCUGUAGGCCACUGUCCUGUUGUCCUCUCUGUCCCGUCUGUCAUCUCUGUCCUAUUUGUCCUGUCUGUCCCAUCUGUCCUGUCUGUCAUCUGUCCCAUCUGUCCUGUCUGUCCCAUCCGAUCUGUAAGCCACUGUCCUGUCUGUCCUCUCUGUCCCGUCUGUCAUCUCUGUCCCAUCUGUCCUGUUUGUCCCAUCUGUCCUGUCUGUCCCAUCCGAUCUGUAAGCCACUGUCCUGUCUGUCCUCUCUGUCCUGUCUGUCAUCUGUCCAAUCUGUCCUGUUUGUCCUGUCUGUCCCGUCCGAUCUGUAAGCCACUGUCAUGUCUGUCCACUCUCUCCUGCCUGUCCUGUCAGUUCCGUAGGCCACUGUCCUGUCUGUUCUCUCUGUCCCAUCUGUCCCAUUUGUCCUGUCUGUCCUCUCUGUCCCGUUUAUCCUGUCUGUCCUCUCUGUCCCAUCUGUCCUGUCAGUUCUGUAAGCCACUGUCCUGUCUGUCCUCUCUGUCCCGUCUGUCAUCUGUCCCAUCUGUCCCAUCUGUCCUGUUUGUCCUGUCUGUCCCAUAUGUCCUGUCAGUUCUGUAAGCCACUGUCCUGUCUGUCCUGUCUGCUGUGUCAGCUCUGUCUGUCCACUCAUUAAAGAGGAGAAGAGAGUGAUGAACACAGUGACGAUGGCAGCCGUCCAGUCAGGCUUAUAACACUGCAAUAUUUAAAUGAGCUGUUUAAAGAUAUUUCUGUGUCUGUGAUUAAAAUGACAUUAAAAUUUUAAAAAUUCUG